CAAACAAGCAAGUGAAACAAAUCUGAACAUACCUUAAAGAUGUUUCACUUUCCCAGAUAUUUUCUGGACUUGGGCAAGAGAGGAACUACCUUUUCCCGACGCCUUUGCAUUUCUGACUUGACAGUUUUUGUUAACAGCAUCUUUUGGCGAACACAGAGCGGAGCGGCGGAGAGAACCGAGACGCCGCUACAACUAGUCACUCAGGAUCCCAUCGCUGAAGAGCACAGCUGGAAAAGUCAGGUGACAUUCGAGCUGGGUAGACAAUGAUUCGGAAAACCCUGAAGAAGGAAAAUGGAUUUUCUAGGGCCGGGGCACACCUGCGCGGUGGGUGGGUGGACAGCUCGCGAG
Long non-coding RNA from Bos indicus x Bos taurus (hybrid cattle), 348 nucleotides. Lineage: Eukaryota; Metazoa; Chordata; Mammalia; Artiodactyla; Bovidae. The record is from Ensembl.